This 429-nucleotide ribosomal RNA is filed under the name Bacteroidota bacterium. RNAcentral describes it as "Bacteroidetes bacterium partial 16S ribosomal RNA". It matches the Rfam family "Bacterial small subunit ribosomal RNA", at positions 355 to 776 of the family's 1533-position model. Lineage: Bacteria; Pseudomonadati; Bacteroidota. The record is from RNAcentral.
UAGGGAAUCUUCGGCAAUGGGGGGAACCCUGACUGAGCAACGCCGCGUGAGUGAAGAAGGUUUUCGGAUCGUAAAGCUCUGUUGUUAAGGAAGAACGAGUGUGAGAAUGGAAAGUUCAUACUGUGACGGUACUUAACCAGAAAGGGACGGCUAACUACGUGCCAGCAGCCGCGGUAAUACGUAGGUCCCGAGCGUUGUCCGGAUUUAUUGGGCGUAAAGCGAGCGCGGGCGGUUAGAUAAGUCUGAAGUUAAAGGCAGUGGCUCAACCAUUGUAGGCUUUGGAAACUGUUUAACUUGAGUGCAGAAGGGGAGAGUGGAAUUCCCUGUGUAGCGGUGAAAUGCGUAGAUAUAUGGAGGAACACCGGUGGCGAAAGCGGCUCGCUGGUCUGUAACUGACGCUGAGGCUCGAAAGCGUGGGGAGCGAACAGG